Molecule: long non-coding RNA, 799 nt
Filed under: Callithrix jacchus (white-tufted-ear marmoset)
Lineage: Eukaryota; Metazoa; Chordata; Mammalia; Primates; Cebidae
Description: lncRNA (ENSCJAG00000085110.1)
Source: RNAcentral
GUUGGAUAUAAAAGUCACCAUAAUGUCUCUGCCUAUACGUCGAUGGGCUGGUACUGCAGUCCUUUGUACUAAUCUGACUGGCCAAUGAAAAGUCCAUUUGGAAAACAAGAUCUUCUGAGAAAAAUUGAGAUGCGAUAAAACCAUUGCAGAAGGUUGAGGGGAAAGGAGGAAGAAAAAGAACUGUUCAUGCCAAGGAUAUGUUGAAGCUUCAAGAAUGGAUGGAGUGAAAUGCAUCGCUUUCAGGAGGAGAUCACUUUUUCCAUGACCCAGUGUAUUCAGUCUGGCCGAGGCCAGAGAGAACACACUGUUCACGUGGAACUCCAUAUGGAAUCAAACAGCUAAGAAGCGCUGAGCGUCUUCUCUGUGCCAAGAGCUGAGGUAAGCAUUUUAUCUAUAUAGCAUCAUGUAGACCUCAUGGCAACCCCGUUACAUGCUAUUGUUAUACUAUCUUUCUAUCAGUUUAUCAGAUGAAAACCCACGUCUUAUAUAAUAGUUUAAGCAAUGUCAUACAUUUAGUAAGUGCUGGGGUCAGGACUAAAAUACUAUUUUGGAUGACUUAAAAAUCUACGCAUUUAAUUCUGAAUCCUGUUUAUGUACCUCUUUGGGAUACGUAAGUGACAGCACUGCUUUAUAUUCAUAAUGUUUUAAUCAAUUCAAUCAUUAACAGUUUUAAUUGUCCUGAGAAGACCUCCGUGCAGAGGUGUCUAACCAGCGUCCUGAGUUGCCUGUUUAGGGGCUACCCUGAUUCACGCUACUUUGGUGAUAAGUUUGUGUCAGUUGCCCUCCAGGGAAGGCCUUC